This 129-nucleotide microRNA precursor is filed under the name Canis lupus familiaris (dog). RNAcentral describes it as "microRNA cfa-mir-8817 precursor". Lineage: Eukaryota; Metazoa; Chordata; Mammalia; Carnivora; Canidae. The record is from miRBase by way of RNAcentral.
UGCCUUCACUUCACAGUUCCUUUGCUGUGUGGCUGGUCCCUUGAGAUAUUAGGUGGGAUCCAUUUAGUGGAUCCCACUCUUGUGAUACUUGGUGGUGGUGCUGCCUGAGGCCCUGUGGGGGGAAAGGGA